Molecule: ribosomal RNA, 563 nt
Filed under: uncultured bacterium
Lineage: Bacteria
Description: bacterial SSU rRNA
Rfam family: Bacterial small subunit ribosomal RNA
Source: RNAcentral
CCUACGGGAGGCAGCAGUGGGGAAUCUUGCGCAAUGGGCGAAAGCCUGACGCAGCAACGCCGCGUGGGGGAUGAAGGCUCUCGGGUUGUAAACCCCUUUCAGCAGGGACGAAUCAAGACGGUACCUGCAGAAGAAGCCCCGGCUAACUACGUGCCAGCAGCCGCGGUAACACGUAGGGGGCAAGCGUUGUCCGGAUUUAUUGGGCGUAAAGAGCUCGUAGGUGGCUGAGUAAGUCGGAUGUUAAAUCCCCAGGCUCAACCUGGGACACCACCCGAUACUGCUCUGGCUAGAGUCCGGUAGGGGAGCGUGGAAUUCCUGGUGUAGCGGUGAAAUGCGCAGAUAUCAGGAGGAACACCAGCGGCGAAGGCGGCGCUCUGGGCCGGUACUGACACUGAGGAGCGAAAGCGUGGGUAGCAAACAGGAUUAGAUACCCUGGUAGUCCACGCCGUAAACGUUGGGCACUAGGUGUGGGGUCUAUUCAACGGACUCCGUGCCGUAGCUAACGCAUUAAGUGCCCGCCUGGGGAGUACGGCCGCAAGGCUAAAACUCAAAGGAAUUGACGG